RNAcentral lists this unclassified non-coding RNA (753 nucleotides) under Hevea brasiliensis (rubber tree). Lineage: Eukaryota; Viridiplantae; Streptophyta; Magnoliopsida; Malpighiales; Euphorbiaceae. The record is from RNAcentral.
AUUGUGGAUCUGGAAAACGUUCCUAAAAUAUUUCACAAUAAAAUUUCCCAAUCAAGAUUGACUAUUGCUAGUUUAUCAUAGAAAAUGCAUUUCUUUUCAUGCCAAUAUGCUCCAUUCAAAAUAUCAUUCUUAAUUCUUAGUGAAUUUAGCAAAAGACAACAACUAAUAAAAUUGCAAACGCACAUAAGUAAAUGCAUUCAGAAGAGGAGAUAACUAUUAAUGGCUUACAAAAUGUCCAUAUACCAGUAUUACCCCAAUAUAGCAGAGUUGUAAGAACUAGGAAGGGUGACUUGAAUAUCUGACUACUUAGAUGCUUGCACCAAAAUGGCUUCCUUUAAAGACUUGAAUAAUGCACCUUUGGUUUAUUUGCAUCCCAAGACGUGAAUUAUUAAUUUGCAAGGCACGGUUCAAUUUUGGAGUCUAUAAAUAGCCUCAGCCAUACAAUAAUACUCAAGAAUCUAAUUUUUAUUGGAAACAUGAAUAUCAUUCCACAUAUUUGUAUAUGAUAUAUCUAUGCAUAUCUCUACGAGCAUGUGUUGCAUGUAUUUGUUAUCGUGGGAAUUUAGUCCAUAGGCUUGACUAUCAAGAUUAGGAUAAUGCAAGCCACAAAAAUGUUCCAUGGAAAAAUAUCAUUCCUCAUUCUAGAAUUGAAUGGUGAUCAUCUAUAAUUGGCAAAAAAAUAUAUAUAUAUAUUGCAUUCAUGUUGUCUAGUAGUGAAUGUGUAGCAAAAAGCAAUGAGGCAAGGAAAGAAUA